GCUCGUCCGUGUUCUUAACCCUCCUCCACGUGCUGUAGUCUUUGCGCCGGAAAAGCAAAUAGGCUGCUGAGACGGCUGGAUAGCUCUUGGAUUCGUCCUGUGGUCGAACACGUAUCUACUCCAAUGCAAAUCAUUGUUAAGUAACAACUAGUUAACCUGGGAAUCAAAAAUGUUUUUCAUAUUAGGGCCCCAUGUUUCUCUCCUUUUGAGACCCAAGCUGACGACUAGUUCCUCCGAUUCGUCUUGGCGUUCCUCAGCCGCGCGUGUUUGCAGUGCCGAAACAAUGUCCCACAGGGCGCUCAGGUUAGCUUUGAGGAACUCGACUUCUUCUUUCAGUUUUAAGUUGGUGUUGCUGCUACCAGCAGUGCGCCCUACGUGUCAGUAAUAAUUGUGUUAUUGUUUCUUCUUCUUCUUUUGUAAACAGACGAAGUAAUUUUACCCUGUGCGUUGACGUAGUCGACGACUGUGAAGCACAAAAUGACGAUCAAGCAGAGUUUCACAACAGUGGACCAAGCCAUCUUCAUCAAAACUGAGCCAGCGGAUCACUAUUCGGCUCUAGUGUAUCGCUUCGUUGACGUCUCUCUGAAUGCUCUACAGAGAUUCAACUGUUUGCUUGUUCCUUUUGAGCUCAAAACUGAGUCAAACACGACAGAAAAACCUACUGCCGACUGUUUGUUUUGACCUCUGCCAACCCGAGGGGUGAUAACCUUCUCCCUAGCCUCAGUUACCGAAAGCCGUCUGUUCUUCGUUCCCAGCUAAGCAGUUCUUUCCGCUGCCAGAUUGUUUACACUAACACAGUCUCCUUCUCCCUCCCUCGAUGUCUGCUCCCUUUACCCCUCUUUCCCUCUACGACUUUUGGAAAAAAUUUGGCUAAUAGAAAAUGGCAGAAGGUCGAAUUUCAGUUGUGGUUUCUUCAGCUAGCAAAGAUGCAUAUACACUCAUACUGCUGAAAAUUCAGGUCAAUCUAUCUCUCAUUCUGUGAAGUACGAUUAUGGAAUAUUCCUUAUCAAACAAUGUUUAUUAAGUGCUAUCUACUAUUGGACAAGAACGUGGCUCCCAUCAGACAUAGCAAGCGAUGUCUUUUAAAUAAAACGAAAAGCGUUUAUUGCAAUAUAUUUUGCAUUUGUUUGCCUUAGCCUAGAAGUCUAGAACAGUCUGGUUUACUGCAACAGUAUACCUUACUAUAUAUAGUGCGGACCGAAUAUCAAGUCUCACAAAAAAACUGUUCCCACCAAAAGAGCAUUUGAUUUUAGUAUGGCUGAUAUAGAAAUGUUAACACCUGUGACCACCGCCAAAUUUUCUUUCUGAAAAGCGUGUUAAUGUUUUUAGGGUUUAUUGAUGUAUUGUAAAAUCUAUCUUUAGAAUUUUUAUGACACUAACAGGGAUCACUUAUGGCACAACAAGAUAAUUGAAUAUGAAAAUGCUGAACUGGUAAUAAAGCUUAAACUUAA
Molecule: long non-coding RNA, 1451 nt
Organism: Daphnia pulex (common water flea)
Lineage: Eukaryota; Metazoa; Arthropoda; Branchiopoda; Diplostraca; Daphniidae
Exons: 2
Source: RefSeq, a predicted model, not a curated record